RNAcentral lists this transfer RNA (77 nucleotides) under Planktothrix pseudagardhii. RNAcentral describes it as "tRNA-Leu". It matches the Rfam family "tRNA". Rfam says of the family: Transfer RNA (tRNA) molecules are approximately 80 nucleotides in length. Their secondary structure includes four short double-helical elements and three loops (D, anti-codon, and T loops). Lineage: Bacteria; Bacillati; Cyanobacteriota; Cyanophyceae; Oscillatoriales; Microcoleaceae. The record is from RNAcentral.
ACUCCUGUAGCCCAACGGUCAGAGGCGAUCGCCUUAGAAGCGAUGCGUUGCAGGUUCAACUCCUGUCAGGAGUACCA